UGGAACGGUAGAAUACUCGUGAAGUGACUCUCAGAGCAGUUCUGUAGAUGUUGUUUAUGUAUUUAUGUCUUCAUAUGUCUUCAGAUGCUGAAAUCACGCGCUUCAGUGUAAAAAAAAGAAAAAAAAAACGCGCGUCUCUGCCAUUCAUUCAUUCAUUCAUUCACACACAGAGACUCGCAGAACAUGCGGGAUUCAUGUCUGAAUCGACUUUUGCGGCUUAAUAUUUACAGAUACUAGUCCAUGUCGCGAUUUGAUUAAAGUGUGACGACCUACUUUUGAUUAUUUCAUCCAAACUUUGACAUUCCGUGCUAAACUGUAAACUCCGUUUUUUUAACUGGAUUCCGAGAUUCCGUCCGCGUUUUCUGCAUCGCGGAAAUCAUAGGUCCGUACGCGUCAAGAACCGGGUUGACCGGGUACUCGGUACCACCGGUACUUAAAAAAACCUGGUACCGUGACGUUUUCAUUUUUUUAGUACCGACUUGGUACCGAAGUACCGGGUCUUUUGACAACAUGUGAACUAUCACAAUUAAAGCACAAAGACAUAACAACAUUACACUCCGAGACCAUUCACAAGUGUGACAAAAGAGAAGAAACGCUUUCCGGAAGAGAAGUUCAUCAGGCGAGUUGGAGACUAGUCGACUCAUCCAGUUUAGCGGAGAGCAUCAACCCCUAAUUGGCAUGAGGAAAAAAAUCAUUGAAAAGGGUUAAGCGUACAGUGUACCUCUCUUUGCAACAGAGGAAGCAUUAGGAAAGAGGAGAAGAGAGAAAGUGAAAAGGCACUCAACAGAUGUUGCUUUGAAAAUGCACUGGUAACAACUUAAAAAAGACGACCAAAAAUAUAAUUCAACAGAGGAUGAUGGCUGUGGUUAAACAAGCACUCAGAUAAUGAAACUAAGACCAGUGGGAGUGCUGGAGAAAUCAAGUGUAUAAGCCCUCUGUCUCCUCAGCCAUGGAAGAGAUCUUCAGACAUGAAGAGAUUGAGGAGUUAAAUGAAGUCAAAAGAGCUAAAAGAAGAUUUACAAUAUUAGUGCCAUUUCAGUAUGAAAACAGAGAGAGAGGGAAUGGAGUGGAAAGAAAUGCAUGUUAUUGUGCAAGGGGUAGUUGCAUGGACUAUCAGUGGAGCGACAGAAAGCUCUGAGAUUUCAUUAUAAAGAUCUUCGUUUGUGUUCUGAAGAUGAACAAAAUACUUGCAGGUUUGGAACGAUAUGAGGGUGAGUAAUUGAUGACAGAAUUUUCAUUUUUGGGUGAACCAACCUUUUAACUUCUUUUACCUGGAGUGUUCAAGACAUUGUUAAUGCUGACUAAUAUGUCAUAAGAAAUUAAUUGGGAGUAGAACGAAUACUUUACACAAACACUUGGUGACAUCACAAUUCAAGAUUUAUUUUAAGCAUACUAAAUAUCCCUGUAGUGAAAAGUGUAACUGAAACUUGAGAAUUUCUGAUAGCUUUUGUUUGUUUGUUUUUCCAGACUACAUCCAAAAUAGUGUUUCCACAUCUGAGAUGAAGGCAGUCAUAAGAACCAAGCAGAACAAUGAGGAUAAGCUCUUUAGAAAAAGAAACCUGUCAGAAUAAUGCGGGAAGAAAUUUGUAAAUAAACACUAAAUACAUUUAGUGUAACUCUCAGCCUGUUAUUUUAAGUUUAAAGAAAAGUAAAAUCAUUUAUUGUUACAUUGCUGUUUGAGACAUUCACUGUUGUUUUGUACCUUAAUUUAUUAUAUUGCAGAUGUGUGCAAAUAAAACUUGUUAUUCUGAAUAUUCUGGUUGCAUUUCAGUGUUACUGUACAGCAUUUUAUUAGUAUUGCACUUUGGUAGUACUGACUUGUACUUCAGUUUUAUUAUAUGUUGCAGUACUACUGCAGUUUUAUUGCAGUAUAACUGUAGUAAUACUUCAGCUGUAUUGCAGUAAUACUGCAAUAAUGCAGUUUUUUCGUGUCCAAAAAACUGCAUUUUUCUACAUGUAACAAAAACUGCAGUAAUUUUUUGUAAGGGGUGUGUCUGCCCUGCCUUUGUUGGAUUUUCAUUAAAGACUGUUAUUUUGAGUUA
Onychostoma macrolepis is the source of this 2042-nucleotide long non-coding RNA. RefSeq lists it as uncharacterized. Lineage: Eukaryota; Metazoa; Chordata; Actinopteri; Cypriniformes; Cyprinidae. The record is from RefSeq and is a predicted model, not a curated record. The transcript has 5 exons.